UUGGACAAUUGUUUGAUUUAUAUGAUUUGAUUGCUUCCAUAAUUAUUGGCCAUAUGUUAUGUGAGUUUAGAUGAUUUAUUCUUUGCAUUCGAAAGAAGGGGAAUAGAUUCGAUAUAAUAUAAAUUAACAUAGGGUUCGAUAGGGGAUAGAAAUAUACCCCUAUGCUUUGUGCAAUUCAUAAGGUGUUCAUAAAAAUUCAUGCAUUCUUGUAUAUUUGCAUCAUCCAUAGAAAUAUAGGCUGGUGGUGUGCAAGAGUAGAUUCAGUAUAUAUCGAGAGAGUAUAUUGGAUAGGUUUAGGAACAUUGAAUUGGCAUUUUUCCAUCGAUUCGUUGAAUUUGUGAAAUUAGGGUUUUUAAUAGUCAAUUGGGGAUUCGAGAUCCUAAUGAUUGCAUUUCAAUUUAUUUCUAUACAUUAACUUCCAAAA
Molecule: long non-coding RNA, 424 nt
Filed under: Olea europaea (common olive)
Lineage: Eukaryota; Viridiplantae; Streptophyta; Magnoliopsida; Lamiales; Oleaceae
Description: long non-coding RNA (OEUR_LNC006741)
Source: RNAcentral